AUGCCUGUACCAUAACCGACACAGGUGGGUAGGUAGAGUAUACUAAGGGGCGCGAGAUAACUCUCUCUAAGGAACUCGGCAAAAUGACUCCGUAACUUCGGGAGAAGGAGUGCCUUAUUUAUAAGGUUGCAAUAACAAGAUCCAAGCAACUGUUUAUCAAAAACACAGGUCUCCGCUAAGUCGUAAGACGAUGUAUGGGGGCUGACGCCUGCCCAGUGCCAGAAGGUUAAAGAAGUUGGUUAGUGUAUGCGAAGCUGAUGACUGAAGCCCUGGUGAACGGCGGCCGUAACAAUAACGGUCCUAAGGUAGCGAAAUUCCUUGUCGGGUAAGUUCCGACCCGCACGAAAGGCGUAAUGAUUUGGAUACUGUCUCGGAGAGAGGCUCGGUGAAAUAGACUUGUCUGUGAAGAUGCGGACUACCUGCACCAGGACAGAAAGACCCUAUGAAGCUUUACUGUAACUUGAAAUUGGAAUUGGACUUUGCUUGCGCAGUAUAGGUGGGAAGCGUUGAAGAUAUUCUUGCGGGAGUAUUGGAGCUAUCAGUGAGAUACCACUCUUGUAAUGUUAGAUUUCUAACUUUGAACCAUAAUCUGGUCAAAGAACAGUUUCAGGUGGGCAGUUUGACUGGGGCGGUCGCCUCCCAAAUGGUAACGGAGGCGUACAAAGGUUUCCUCUGAACGGAUAGAAAUCGUAUCUAGAGUGUAAAGGCAUAAGGAAGCUUGACUGUGAGACCUACAAGUCGAGCAGGGACGAAAGUCGGUCUUAGUGAUCUGACGGUACUGAGUGGAAAGGCCGUCACUCAACGGAUAAAAGUUACUCUAAGGAUAACAGGCUGAUCUCCCCCAAGAGUUCACAUCGACGGGGAGGUUUGGCACCUCGAUGUCGGCUCAUCGCAUCCUGGGGCGGUAGUACGUCCCAAGGGUUGGGCUGUUCGCCCAUGAAAGCGGUACGCGAGCUGGGUUCAGAACGUCGUGAGACAGUUCGGUCCAUAUCCGGUGUAGGCGUUAGAAUAUUGAGAGGAGCCUUCUUUAGUACGAGAGGACCGAGAAGGACACACCGCUGGUGUACCAGUUAUCGUGCCAACGGUAAACGCUGGGUAGCUAUGUGUGGAGUGGAUAACCGCUGAAAGCAUCUAAGUGGGAAGCCCACCUCAAGAUGAGUAUUCCCAUGGCGUUAGCCAGUAAGGUCACGGGAAGAACACCCGUUGAUAGGCUCUACGUGGAAGCCGGGCAACCGGUGAAGCGGAGGAGUACUAAUAGACCGAGGGCUUGAC
This 1272-nucleotide ribosomal RNA is filed under the name metagenome. Its description in RNAcentral is "bacterial LSU rRNA". It matches the Rfam family "Bacterial large subunit ribosomal RNA", at positions 1638 to 2925 of the family's 2925-position model. The record is from RNAcentral.